Molecule: ribosomal RNA, 407 nt
Filed under: uncultured bacterium
Lineage: Bacteria
Description: partial 16S ribosomal RNA
Rfam family: Bacterial small subunit ribosomal RNA
Source: RNAcentral
AUUGAACGCUGGCGGCAGGCCUAACACAUGCAAGUCGAGCGGAACGGCGGACGGGGGGGUAAUGCCUAGGGAUCAGCCUGGUAGUGAGGGAUAACGUCAGGAAACGGGCGCUAAUACAGCAUACUAUCAGAUGAGCCUAGGUCGGAUUAGAUAGUUGGUGGGGUAAAGGCCUACCAAGGCGACGAUCCGUAACUGGUCUGAGAGGAUGAUCAGUCACACUGGAACUGAUACACGGUCCAGACUCCUACGGGAGGCAGCAGUGGGGAAUAGUGGACAAUGGGCGAAAGCCUGAUCCAGCCAUGCCGCGUGUUUGAAGAAGGUCUUCGGAUUGUAAAGCACUUUAAGUUGGGAGGCGUUACCAACAGAAUAAGCACCGGCUAACUUCGUGCCAGCAGCCGCGGUAAUAC